This 679-nucleotide long non-coding RNA is filed under the name Vigna radiata. RNAcentral's name for it is "long non-coding RNA (VRAD_LNC003532)". The record is from RNAcentral. Lineage: Eukaryota; Viridiplantae; Streptophyta; Magnoliopsida; Fabales; Fabaceae.
CUUUUUCACAACUUCUCUUUCUCCUUAAGGAUUUUUCAAACAAUUUUCCUCGCUCCUUAUGAAACGUAUGAUGUAAUGUUGUGAGGGUGCAUGAAUGUAUAAAAACAUGAGACCUUUGUUUCGUUCUUUUCUUUUGCUCUCUUUCUUUUUCUUUGUUUUCUUUUUUUUUUUCAAUGUGUUUCUCCCCCUUAUUUGGAAUGUGCCCAUGUUUGGAAUCCGUUGUCAACAUCAUCGUCAAACUCGAUGUACAUUCAAAAGGCAUUCAUUGAAAAUAAUGUGAAGAGGUAGUGAGUCCUCUAAUGAGCAGGAAAAAAAAUGUAACCAUGAGUUCGAACUCCUUUUAACGCUUCUCACAAUCCAUGUUGGCUUGAACCUGGGAAGAUGUGGGAAAUGGGUGUUAAAAUAAAAAGUAGAUGGUUGAAUGAUUAUUUGUGGGCAACAUUAACAUUUGUGUUAGCCUUAUCUAGGGAGAUGCCAUUAAUAUUUAAACAUAGAAACAUGUAGAGCUCACAAGGCUGCCCCAAUUUUGUUGCACACAGUAAAUACCAUUUGAAGAGGUGGAAUGGUUUGAGUAGGAAGGGUUGCCCCAGUUUGAUGAUUCUCUCUUGACAUGACGAUUGAUGGGUAGACUUUACAUUAUAUUUUUUCAUUUUUCAUUUUCGAUGCCUUUUUCUUUUCU